RNAcentral lists this ribosomal RNA (333 nucleotides) under uncultured bacterium. RNAcentral's name for it is "bacterial SSU rRNA". It matches the Rfam family "Bacterial small subunit ribosomal RNA", at positions 28 to 355 of the family's 1533-position model. The record is from RNAcentral.
GAUGAACGCUAGCGGCAGGCUUAAUACAUGCAAGUCGUGGGGCAGCAUGAGUAGCAAUACUUGAUGGCGACCGGCAAACGGGUGAGGAACACGUACACAACCUUCCUUCAAGCGGGGAAUAGCCCAGAGAAAUUUGGAUUAAUACCCCAUAAUAUAUUUGAUAAGGCAUCUUAUUAAUAUUAAAGCUUCGGCACUUGAUGAUGGGUGUGCGGCUGAUUAGAUAGUUGGCGGGGUUAACGGCCCACCAAGUCUACGAUCAGUAGCUGAUGUGAGAGCAUGAUCAGCCACACGGGCACUGAGACACGGGGCCCACGUCCUACGGGAGGCAGCAGU